AUUGAACGCUGGCGGCAUGCCUUACACAUGCAAGUCGAACGGUAACAGGUCUUCGGACGCUGACGAGUGGCGAACGGGUGAGUAAUACAUCGCAACGUGCCUAGUCGUGGGGGAUAACUACUCGAACGAGUAGCUAAUAACUCAUACGAUCUGAGGAUGAAAGCGGGGGACCUUCGGGCCUCGCGCGAUCGGAGCGGCCGACGGCAGAUUAGGCAGUUGGUGGGAUAAAGGCUUACCAAGCCGACGACCUGUAGCUGGUCUGAGAGGCCGACGAGCCACACUGGGGCUGAUACACGGCGCAGACUCCUACGAGAGGCAGCAGUGGGGAAUUUUGGACAGUGGUCGAAAGCCUGAUCCAGCAAUGCCGCGUGCAGGAUGAAGGCCUUAGAUUUGUAAACUGCUUUUGUACGGAACGGAAAAGCUCUUUCUAAUACAGGGGGCCCAUGACGGUGCCGUAAGAAUAAGCACCGGCUAACUACGUGCCAGUAGCCGCAGUAA
This 498-nucleotide ribosomal RNA is filed under the name uncultured bacterium. RNAcentral's name for it is "partial 16S ribosomal RNA". It matches the Rfam family "Bacterial small subunit ribosomal RNA", at positions 30 to 523 of the family's 1533-position model. The record is from RNAcentral.